CCUACGGGUGGCAGCAGUGAGGAAUAUUGGUCAAUGGACGAGAGUCUGAACCAGCCAAGUAGCGUGAAGGAUGACUGCCCUAUGGGUUGUAAACUUCUUUUAUAAAGGAAUAAAACGAGGCACGUGUGCCUUUUUGCAUGUACUUUAUGAAUAAGGAUCGGCUAACUCCGUGCCAGCAGCCGCGGUAAUACGGAGGAUCCGAGCGUUAUCCGGAUUUAUUGGGUUUAAAGGGAGCGUAGAUGGGUUGUUAAGUCAGUUGUGAAAGUUUGCGGAUCAACCGUAAAAUUGCAAUUGAUACUGGCAGUCGUGAGUACAGUUGAGGUAGGCGGAAUUCGUGGUGUAGCGGUGAAAUGCUUAGAUAUCACGAAGAACCCCGAGUGCGAAGGCAGCUUACUAAACUGUGACUGACAUUGAUGCUCGAAAGUGUGGGUAUCAAACAGGAUUAGAUACCCUGGUAGUC
RNAcentral lists this ribosomal RNA (460 nucleotides) under uncultured bacterium. Its description in RNAcentral is "partial 16S ribosomal RNA". It matches the Rfam family "Bacterial small subunit ribosomal RNA", at positions 338 to 795 of the family's 1533-position model. The record is from RNAcentral.